GCCCCCAUGGCCCAAUUGGAUAAGGCGACUGCCUUCUAAGCAGUAGACUGUGGGUUCGAGUCCCACUGGGGGUU
Molecule: transfer RNA, 74 nt
Filed under: Megaviridae environmental sample
Lineage: Varidnaviria; Bamfordvirae; Nucleocytoviricota; Megaviricetes; Imitervirales; Mimiviridae
Description: tRNA-Arg
Rfam family: tRNA
About the family: Transfer RNA (tRNA) molecules are approximately 80 nucleotides in length. Their secondary structure includes four short double-helical elements and three loops (D, anti-codon, and T loops). Further hydrogen bonds mediate the characteristic L-shaped molecular structure. tRNAs have two regions of fundamental functional importance: the anti-codon, which is responsible for specific mRNA codon recognition, and the 3' end, to which the tRNAs corresponding amino acid is attached (by aminoacyl-tRNA synthetases). tRNAs cope with the degeneracy of the genetic code in two manners: having more than one tRNA (with a specific anti-codon) for a particular amino acid; and 'wobble' base-pairing, i.e. permitting non-standard base-pairing at the 3rd anti-codon position.
Source: RNAcentral